Long non-coding RNA from Lolium rigidum, 356 nucleotides. RefSeq lists it as uncharacterized. Lineage: Eukaryota; Viridiplantae; Streptophyta; Magnoliopsida; Poales; Poaceae. The record is from RefSeq and is a predicted model, not a curated record. The transcript is spliced from 3 exons.
GGACAACCCAGAUCUGGUACUCAAGGACAAUCCGACACUCCAGUGUCAGCUAAUGACAUGUGUGCCCUGGAUGAAUGGCCAUCCCAUGCUCGCCGCUAUCGUGCGCAACUACAGGAUGAAGCAGAUGGACAGAAGAAGAAGAAAGGGCGAGGUGUUGUAAAAGGUGUUAAAGCAGCUCAGAAGCGUUUUGCCAACGGAUCUGCGAAGCUAAAUAUUACAUUCUCUGAAACGUUGGGUGGUACGAUAGGAAUGAACUAUCGCUCAUUCAAGGAUGACGUGGUAGUGAUAAUGAAAAGGAAGGUACCACUCAUUGGGGUGAGGAGGUGGUCCGACAUUCACCCAAGUGUGCAUCGACU